RNAcentral lists this ribosomal RNA (2341 nucleotides) under Escherichia coli. Its description in RNAcentral is "partial 23S ribosomal RNA". It matches the Rfam family "Bacterial large subunit ribosomal RNA", at positions 612 to 2925 of the family's 2925-position model. Lineage: Bacteria; Pseudomonadati; Pseudomonadota; Gammaproteobacteria; Enterobacterales; Enterobacteriaceae. The record is from RNAcentral.
AUAAUGGGUCAGCGACUUAUAUUCUGUAGCAAGGUUAACCGAAUAGGGGAGCCGAAGGGAAACCGAGUCUUAACUGGGCGUUAAGUUGCAGGGUAUAGACCCGAAACCCGGUGAUCUAGCCAUGGGCAGGUUGAAGGUUGGGUAACACUAACUGGAGGACCGAACCGACUAAUGUUGAAAAAUUAGCGGAUGACUUGUGGCUGGGGGUGAAAGGCCAAUCAAACCGGGAGAUAGCUGGUUCUCCCCGAAAGCUAUUUAGGUAGCGCCUCGUGAAUUCAUCUCCGGGGGUAGAGCACUGUUUCGGCAAGGGGGUCAUCCCGACUUACCAACCCGAUGCAAACUGCGAAUACCGGAGAAUGUUAUCACGGGAGACACACGGCGGGUGCUAACGUCCGUCGUGAAGAGGGAAACAACCCAGACCGCCAGCUAAGGUCCCAAAGUCAUGGUUAAGUGGGAAACGAUGUGGGAAGGCCCAGACAGCCAGGAUGUUGGCUUAGAAGCAGCCAUCAUUUAAAGAAAGCGUAAUAGCUCACUGGUCGAGUCGGCCUGCGCGGAAGAUGUAACGGGGCUAAACCAUGCACCGAAGCUGCGGCAGCGACGCUGAUGCGUUGUUGGGUAGGGGAGCGUUCUGUAAGCCUGCGAAGGUGUGCUGUGAGGCAUGCUGGAGGUAUCAGAAGUGCGAAUGCUGACAUAAGUAACGAUAAAGCGGGUGAAAAGCCCGCUCGCCGGAAGACCAAGGGUUCCUGUCCAACGUUAAUCGGGGCAGGGUGAGUCGACCCCUAAGGCGAGGCCGAAAGGCGUAGUCGAUGGGAAACAGGUUAAUAUUCCUGUACUUGGUGUUACUGCGAAGGGGGGACGGAGAAGGCUAUGUUGGCCGGGCGACGGUUGUCCCGGUUUAAGCGUGUAGGCUGGUUUUCCAGGCAAAUCCGGAAAAUCAAGGCUGAGGCGUGAUGACGAGGCACUACGGUGCUGAAGCAACAAAUGCCCUGCUUCCAGGAAAAGCCUCUAAGCAUCAGGUAACAUCAAAUCGUACCCCAAACCGACACAGGUGGUCAGGUAGAGAAUACCAAGGCGCUUGAGAGAACUCGGGUGAAGGAACUAGGCAAAAUGGUGCCGUAACUUCGGGAGAAGGCACGCUGAUAUGUAGGUGAAGUCCCUCGCGGAUGGAGCUGAAAUCAGUCGAAGAUACCAGCUGGCUGCAACUGUUUAUUAAAAACACAGCACUGUGCAAACACGAAAGUGGACGUAUACGGUGUGACGCCUGCCCGGUGCCGGAAGGUUAAUUGAUGGGGUUAGCGCAAGCGAAGCUCUUGAUCGAAGCCCCGGUAAACGGCGGCCGUAACUAUAACGGUCCUAAGGUAGCGAAAUUCCUUGUCGGGUAAGUUCCGACCUGCACGAAUGGCGUAAUGAUGGCCAGGCUGUCUCCACCCGAGACUCAGUGAAAUUGAACUCGCUGUGAAGAUGCAGUGUACCCGCGGCAAGACGGAAAGACCCCGUGAACCUUUACUAUAGCUUGACACUGAACAUUGAGCCUUGAUGUGUAGGAUAGGUGGGAGGCUUUGAAGUGUGGACGCCAGUCUGCAUGGAGCCGACCUUGAAAUACCACCCUUUAAUGUUUGAUGUUCUAACGUUGACCCGUAAUCCGGGUUGCGGACAGUGUCUGGUGGGUAGUUUGACUGGGGCGGUCUCCUCCUAAAGAGUAACGGAGGAGCACGAAGGUUGGCUAAUCCUGGUCGGACAUCAGGAGGUUAGUGCAAUGGCAUAAGCCAGCUUGACUGCGAGCGUGACGGCGCGAGCAGGUGCGAAAGCAGGUCAUAGUGAUCCGGUGGUUCUGAAUGGAAGGGCCAUCGCUCAACGGAUAAAAGGUACUCCGGGGAUAACAGGCUGAUACCGCCCAAGAGUUCAUAUCGACGGCGGUGUUUGGCACCUCGAUGUCGGCUCAUCACAUCCUGGGGCUGAAGUAGGUCCCAAGGGUAUGGCUGUUCGCCAUUUAAAGUGGUACGCGAGCUGGGUUUAGAACGUCGUGAGACAGUUCGGUCCCUAUCUGCCGUGGGCGCUGGAGAACUGAGGGGGGCUGCUCCUAGUACGAGAGGACCGGAGUGGACGCAUCACUGGUGUUCGGGUUGUCAUGCCAAUGGCACUGCCCGGUAGCUAAAUGCGGAAGAGAUAAGUGCUGAAAGCAUCUAAGCACGAAACUUGCCCCGAGAUGAGUUCUCCCUGACUCCUUGAGAGUCCUGAAGGAACGUUGAAGACGACGACGUUGAUAGGCCGGGUGUGUAAGCGCAGCGAUGCGUUGAGCUAACCGGUACUAAUGAACCGUGAGGCUUAACCUUACAACGCC